GCCUCUGCCUGGCAGGCCGCGCUAGCCGAGCGCAGAGCGCCCCGCACGUGGCCCGUCACAGGGCCGGCGCCGCGUCACGGGCUGGGCAGCGCCCGCUGCGCGCGGAGCCCGGCUCGCGCCGCCGGCUGUCGCGGACCGGGGCACGCGGGCGCAGGACGAGGCAGACCAGCGGGGAGAUCCUGCACGUCCUGGGGGGGCUGGUGCAUGUGACGAGUGGCAGGCGGCAGGGAGACCCAUCUUGGGCAUGCAGAGUCCCCACGCGGGGAAGUCUAGCAGUAGAGGGGAGCCUCUAGUACUGCACUGCAGAGAGAGGUUUUUGGGAAGUCCUGGGACCGAGGACAACUCUGCGUUCUCGUCUAAACUUCGUCAGCAUCUCACACGGUGUCGCUCGCCGCUUAAUAACCAGUGAUUCAAGUAAAGGACAAAAAAAAUCAGACUUUGUUUAUUAAAAAAAUACUUUACAGGAAAAAAUUCUAUGCAUUCCAUUGUACUAUUUUACAAAGAAAUAGCUCAACAAUUUUAACACGCUUGUACAGUCAGCUACUAAAAGAAAUGCACUGUGUUAGAGGAUUAUUCACACAGAAGUUUAGAAUUUUUGUAUCUGUUUACACUACUCAUUAUAAAAGCCUCUUUAAAACACUUGUUAAAUGUCAAUAAAUAUACUAAGGCCGCACAAAGCAAACAGUCUUCCAGGCAAUGGUACGUGUCCUCUGUAGGCAGAGACCUUAGAUAAAUUAAAACCACAGGAAAAAAAAAUAAUCUUAGCUGCCAAUUAAAAACCAAAUAAUUAAAAAAAAAAAA
This is a long non-coding RNA of Alligator mississippiensis (American alligator), 801 nucleotides long. RefSeq lists it as uncharacterized. The record is from RefSeq and is a predicted model, not a curated record. The transcript has 2 exons. Lineage: Eukaryota; Metazoa; Chordata; Crocodylia; Alligatoridae.